This 498-nucleotide long non-coding RNA is filed under the name Strigops habroptila (Kakapo). Its description in RNAcentral is "lncRNA (ENSSHBG00005004478.1)". Lineage: Eukaryota; Metazoa; Chordata; Aves; Psittaciformes; Psittacidae. The record is from RNAcentral.
CCUGUCUUUGUGUUUCAGGAGACCUCCAUGAGCACUCUGGGCACCGAGAGGCUAGGUCAUAUUGUUAGUGAUCCACGCCAGAAAGAUUUUUGGUUACCGUCCAUGGGGAAGAGAGAUCGCAACCAGGUAAGCUGACUCUGCUCUGCCUUUUUUAUUUUCUUGGUUUCCUUCUCUCUAGAAAGAACAAAGUGCCGGCUUCUGAUUUCCCACACACUGUGGCCUGUGCACAUGAGUUCAAUCCAUUAUCUCCUCUGUACUCUCUGGAUGUGCUUGCUGAUGCUUCCCACCGAAGAUGCUCACCAGCACACUGCACUGCCAGGUAACUCCUUUGCUCUGCUCUGUUGGGGUUGUCUCACUUCCCUGCCAUGGUUAUCUUCAGUAGUACUAUGUGGUCUGAACGAUGCUUAUGGACCUGGAAGUUAAUGUGCUUUUCCCUAGGAAGCCUGUGUUCAAACUUAGCAUAAAACAUAUGGGUGCAGGUUUUUUGAGAGUCUCAAU